This 839-nucleotide small RNA is filed under the name Pongo abelii (Sumatran orangutan). RNAcentral describes it as "processed transcript". Lineage: Eukaryota; Metazoa; Chordata; Mammalia; Primates; Hominidae. The record is from RNAcentral.
UGGAGGCGAGCGGAGGAUUUGCCGCGGCGGGUCAUCCUAUGCAGAUAUGCUACAUGACAAAGACAGAAAUGUAAAAUACUACCAAGGUAUCCGGGCUGCUGUGAGCAGGGUGAAGGACAGAGGACAGAAGGCCUUGGUUCUCGACAUUGGCACUGGCACGGGACUCUUGUCAAUGAUGGCGGUCACAGCAGGCGCCGACUUCUGCUAUGCCAUCGAGGUUUUCAAGCCUAUGGCUGAUGCUGCUGUGAAGAUUGUGGAGAAAAAUGGCUUUAGUGAUAAGAUUAAGGUUAUCAACAAGCAUUCCACCGAGGUGACUGUAGGUCCAGAGGGUGACAUGCCAUGCCGUGCCAACAUCCUGGUCACAGAGUUGUUUGACACAGAGCUGAUCGGGGAGGGGGCGCUACCCUCCUAUGAGCACGCACACAGGCAUCUCGUGGAGGAAAAUUGUGAGGCCGUGCCCCACAGAGCCACCGUCUAUGCACAGCUGGUGGAGUCCAGGAGGAUGUGGUCGUGGAACAAGCUGUUUCCCAUCCGCGUGCAGACCAGCCUCGGAGAGCAGGUCAUCGUCCCUCCCGUGGACCUGGAGAGCUGCCCUGGCGCACCCUCUGUCUGUGACAUUCAGCUGAACCAGGUGUCACCAGCGGACUUUACAGUCCUCAGCGAUGUGCUGCCCAUGUUCAGCAUAGACUUCAGCAAGCAAGUCAGUAGCUCAGCAGCCUGCCAUAGCAGGCAGUUUGAACCUUGGACAUCUGGCCGAGCUCAGGUGGUUCUCUCAUGGUGGGACAUUGAAAUGGACCCUGAGGGGAAGAUCAAGUGCACCAUGGCCCCCUUCUGGGCAC